CCUACGGGCGGCAGCAGUAGGGAAUAUUGCUCAAUGGGGGAAACCCUGAUGCAGCAACGCCGCGUGGAGGAUGAAGGUUUUCGGGUUGUAAACUCCUUUUGUUGGAGAAGAUAAUGACGGUAUCUAACGAAUAAGCACCGGCUAACUCCGUGCCAGCAGCCGCGGUAAUACGGAGGGUGCAAGCGUUACGCGGAAUCACUGGUCGUAAAGAGAGCGUAGGCGGGAUGGCAAGUCAGAUGUGAAAUCCUAUGGCUUAACCAUAGAACUGCAUUUGAAACUGUUAUUCUAGAGUAUGGGAGAGGGAGGUGGAAUUCUUGGUGUAGGGGUAAAAUCCGUAGAGAUCAAGAGGAAUACUCAUGGCGAAGGCGACCUGCUAGAACAUAACUGACGCUGAUGCGCGAAAGCGUGGGGAGCAAACAGGAUUAGAUACCCGGGUAGUC
This 440-nucleotide ribosomal RNA is filed under the name uncultured bacterium. Its description in RNAcentral is "partial 16S ribosomal RNA". It matches the Rfam family "Bacterial small subunit ribosomal RNA", at positions 338 to 795 of the family's 1533-position model. The record is from RNAcentral.